UCCUGCUCUCUCCUUUCGUUCUUUCAUUCUCCCUUCCGUUUUCGUUUGUUUGUUUUCUCAUUUUCUUUCACUCUGCUCUUGUGGCUGUGAUGACUAUUUCGUUUCUCGAAUCUGAUAUCGAUGUCAUUCGAGGACCGCCUUGAUGACUUCAUUUGUGCGUGUCUGAGCCAUUUUUGUUCUUGUUCUUCGAUCUAAAUUGUAGAAAUCAAACAUUUAGAUCACCUGAUUGACGGGAUCGGAUGAUGAUCGAUGUGGAUUUUACUUUUGUUACUGAUUUGAUAGUUUGAUUAGGCUUCAUAUGUGCAUAUUGAUUGGAUCAGUGGAGAAGGAAGGGGAAGUUGAUUAAUGAGAACUCAAAUUUAAUAUGCUUGUUUUAGCUCUUGGAGGCCUUCUUUCUUGUGAAAUUUUAGAUUUCAAUGUUGCUUGGUCUCAGGAAGAUGCCAGCUAAAUCUUGGGGCUUUCUCCAUCAAGGAGCUAUUUGAGUUGGAGGAUCUGUGUGAUGCAUGCAUGUGGUGUGUUUACUGCACUGUUCUGUACUCAUAUGGGCGCAUUUAAUCUUUGAAUGGAUAGCUUUUGGUUGAACGAGACCGAUUCUGAGCUGUUUUCAUUGAAGGUACAAAGAAAGCCUUUUAUUAUAUGGCAUGGAAUUUAGUCUGGGGAGCAUAUAUAAGUAUAAACUCGCAUUGCAUUUAUAGCUCAUUGUUCUCAUCAGGAUAGACUAUAUAAAUUACUCGAGUCUCAUGUAGAUCUUACAAAAUGCAGAUUCUAAUAUGGCAUUAGAAGCAUGAGUACUUGACAUGUUCUGAGAUUAUGAUGCAUGCCAAUAGCAGGAAAUCAGACAGACUUCAUCCUUUUUUUCACUUUUUAAUUUGAUCAGAUGUGGCCAUUUACAGCACAGUAGUGUUUCUGCAUUAUGCCAGAAUGCCAUCGAUGCUGCUGCUUUGUUUCCUCCUGUGAGCCUCAUAUGACCGAAGCAAUUCACAUUGGCACAGCAAAAUGUGAAUCAAGAGAACGUUUAUCUUCAUAUGUCUCGACUCAUUCCUCGGAUUGUUGGGAAUUUUAUAGCAAUUCAGGUGGUAUAUUUGUGCAUCCACACUGUUUGCUGGGACAUGAAUUGUGGGAAUUAACGAGUUGGAUUGGGUUUCUUAUGUUAUCAAUUGAUAGUAUGUUAUGGUACGGAUGUUAGCACCAUAGCAGUGACCUCCAAAGUUGGCUGAGCUCCACAUUGUAAAAGAUUAUUUCUAGUUAGAAUUAAUCAAAAUGCACAAUAAAUCCACUCCAUCAUUCUUUCA
Musa acuminata subsp. malaccensis (wild Malaysian banana) is the source of this 1292-nucleotide non-coding RNA. NCBI's taxonomy places the organism in Eukaryota, Viridiplantae, Streptophyta, Magnoliopsida, Zingiberales, Musaceae. The record is from RefSeq and is a predicted model, not a curated record.